RNAcentral lists this ribosomal RNA (482 nucleotides) under uncultured bacterium. RNAcentral's name for it is "partial 16S ribosomal RNA". It matches the Rfam family "Bacterial small subunit ribosomal RNA", at positions 28 to 507 of the family's 1533-position model. The record is from RNAcentral.
GACGAACGCUGGCGGCGUGCUUAACACAUGCAAGUCGAACGCUGAAGCUCAGCUUGCUGGGUGGAUGAGUGGCGAACGGGUGAGUAACACGUGAGUAACCUGCCCUCUUCUUUGGGAUAACGCCCGGAAACGGGUGCUAAUACUGGAUAUUCACUGAUUCUCGCAUGGGGGUUGGUGGAAAGGUUUUUUCUGGUGGGGGAUGGGCUCGCGGCCUAUCAGCUUGUUGGUGGGGUGAUGGCCUACCAAGGCUUUGACGGGUAGCCGGCCUGAGAGGGUGACCGGUCACAUUGGGACUGAGAUACGGCCCAGACUCCUACGGGAGGCAGCAGUGGGGAAUAUUGCGCAAUGGGCGAAAGCCUGAUGCAGCGACGCCGCGUGAGGGAUGGAGGCCUUCGGGUUGUAAACCUCUUUCGCUCAUGGUCAAGCCGCAGCGUUGGGUUGUGGUGAGGGUAGUGGGUAAAGAAGCGCCGGCUAACUACGUG